GACGAACGCUGGCGGCGUGCCUAAUACAUGCAAGUCGAGCGGGCUGAUCCUUCGGGAGAGGCUAGCGGCGGACGGGUGAGUAACACGUAGGCAACCUGCCUGUAAGACCGGGAUAACUACCGGAAACGGUAGCUAAGACCGGAUAGCUGAUUUUCCUGCAUGGGAGAAUCAUGAAACACGGCGCAAGCUGUGGCUUACAGAUGGGCCUGCGGCGCAUUAGCUAGUUGGUGAGGUAAUAGCUCACCAAGGCGACGAUGCGUAGCCGACCUGAGAGGGUGAUCGGCCACACUGGGACUGAGACACGGCCCAGACUCCUACGGGAGGCAGCAGUAGGGAAUCUUCCGCAAUGGACGAAAGUCUGACGGAGCAACGCCGCGUGAGUGAUGAAGGUUUUCGGAUCGUAAAGCUCUGUUGCCAAGGAAGAACGCCAAGGAGAGUAACUGCUCUUUGGGUGACGGUACUUGAGAAGAAAGCCCCGGCUAACUACGUGCCAGCCGCCGCCGUAACAC
This 509-nucleotide ribosomal RNA is filed under the name uncultured bacterium. Its description in RNAcentral is "bacterial SSU rRNA". It matches the Rfam family "Bacterial small subunit ribosomal RNA", at positions 28 to 526 of the family's 1533-position model. The record is from RNAcentral.